UACAGAGGGUGCAAGCGUUAAUCGGAAUUAUUGGGCGUAAAGCGCAUGUAGGUGGUUUAAUAAGUUUGAUGUGAAAGCCCUGGGCUUAACCUGGGAAUGGCGUUGAAGACUGUUAAACUAGAGUCGGACAGAGGGCGGUGGAAUUUCCGGUGUAGCGGUGAAAUGCGUAGAGAUCGGAAAGAACACCCGUGGCGAAGGCGGCCGCCUGGGUCCAGACUGACACUGAGGUGCGAAAGCGUGGGGAGCAAACAGG
RNAcentral lists this ribosomal RNA (253 nucleotides) under uncultured bacterium. RNAcentral describes it as "partial 16S ribosomal RNA". It matches the Rfam family "Bacterial small subunit ribosomal RNA", at positions 524 to 776 of the family's 1533-position model. The record is from RNAcentral.